UGUUGGAAAUGUGCCCUAAAACCAAUCAUAUGAUGAUAUUUUACGGACAUUUCACAUGUUAAACUAAUCUAGUUUAAUAUCAAGGGCAAAGAUUAUUGUUUUAAGCCGUCUCAUAUAAAUGUUAUAUGCUUAAACGAUAUGUCCAAGGAAUAUGUAAUUGGGAGAAUGUAAUUUAAACAAGUUAAAUUAAUGAGACCAUUCUCUUUCGUAUACAUAUCCUAAACAUUCCUGAUCAUAGGAUUGCCAAUUGGGCAUUGACAGUCCAUUAAGAUCAGUACAUGCUAUGUCUUCUCUUAGGGAGAGUGACUAGUCUCGAGUCAUUGGUGUGAUUGACACCAAGACAAGCAUGUAGGUGCUCAAUAGAGAAUGAGUUCACUGAACACGAUCAACGAAGAGUUCUCAUAUUCAUGU
This 411-nucleotide long non-coding RNA is filed under the name Malus domestica (apple). RNAcentral's name for it is "long non-coding RNA (MDOM_LNC020777)". Lineage: Eukaryota; Viridiplantae; Streptophyta; Magnoliopsida; Rosales; Rosaceae. The record is from RNAcentral.